GGGCCCGUAGCUCAGCCUGGUUAGGUUAAAAACCCCGGAAAGAGCGACAGGCUCAUAACCUGUUGGUCGUGGGUUCAAAUCCCACCGGGCCCACCA
This 96-nucleotide transfer RNA is filed under the name Candidatus Bathyarchaeota archaeon. RNAcentral's name for it is "tRNA-Met". It matches the Rfam family "tRNA". From Rfam's summary of the family: Transfer RNA (tRNA) molecules are approximately 80 nucleotides in length. The record is from RNAcentral. Lineage: Archaea; Thermoproteati; Candidatus Bathyarchaeota.